GCAGUGAGGAAUAUUGGUCAAUAGCCUAACGGCUGAACCAGCAACUUGUACGAACGAAAGACGCAACUAGCGUUGUAUAGUAUAUUAAUACUAUAUCAGUAACUAUGUUACAUUAAGUUCUAGAUAAAUAUUUGAUUAUGACAGAAUUUAUCUAUGAGUCUUGACUAAAUCAUGUGCCAGCCGUCGCGGUAAGACAUGGAAGACAAGCGUUAUUCAUCUUCAACAGGUUUAUAGGGUACUCAGACAGUUAAUUAAGCCUAAAUAAGGGACUGAUUCAACUAGAGUUUUAUAGAAGAAGGCUAGAACGGUAUGUGGAGAGAUGCAAUAUAUUGAUACAUAUUAAAAUCUGACAACGGCGAAGGCAACCUUUUAUGUAAAAACUGACGUUAAAGGACGAAGGCUACAAAAAAUUAAUAGGAUUAGAUACCCUAGUAUUCGUAGCAGUAAAUGAUGAAUGUCAUAGGUAAGUAGUAUUAUUUACGUAUAAAUGAAAGUGUAAGCAUUCCACCUUAAGAGUAACACGGCAACGUAGGAAUUGAAAUCAUUAGACCGUUUCUGAGAACAGUAGUGAAGUAUGUUAGUUAAAUUGAUGAUCCACAAAGAACCUUACCACAAUUUGAAUGUUAAUUCACAGGAGUUGCACGGCUGUCUUCAGUUGAUAUCGUGAGAUUUUGGUUAGCUCCAUUUAAUCAACGUAAACCCUUACUUUAAUUUAUACAUAAAGUAGUUCUCCAUUAUAUUGGAUAUGAUAAAAGGGACUAAGACAAGUCAUCAUGACCUAAAUAUUGUGGGC
RNAcentral lists this ribosomal RNA (793 nucleotides) under Porina epiphylla. RNAcentral's name for it is "SSU rRNA". It matches the Rfam family "Bacterial small subunit ribosomal RNA", at positions 351 to 1214 of the family's 1533-position model. The record is from RNAcentral. Lineage: Eukaryota; Fungi; Ascomycota; Lecanoromycetes; Ostropales; Porinaceae.